This 29-nucleotide small RNA is filed under the name Bombyx mori (domestic silkworm). RNAcentral describes it as "ovarian small RNA-8779". The record is from RNAcentral. Lineage: Eukaryota; Metazoa; Arthropoda; Insecta; Lepidoptera; Bombycidae.
UGGCGUUGUUGCCAUCGAGACCAUGUAGC